AGCUCCAAUAGCGUAUAUUAAAGUUGCUGCAGUUAAAAAGCUCGUAGUUGGAUCUCGGGUCCAGGCUUGCGGUUCUGCUCGUGCAGACACUGAUCGUCCUGACCUACCUGCCGGUGUUCCACUGGUGCCCUUAACUGGGUGUCUCGGGUUGCCGGAACGUUUACUUUGAAAAAAUUAGAGUGUUCAAAGCAGGCAGUCUGCCUGAAUAAUGGUGCAUGGAAUAAUAGAAAAGGACCUCGGUUCUAUUUUGUUGGUUUUCGGAACUUGAUGUAAUGAUUAAGAGGGACAGACGGGGGCAUUCGUAUUACGGUGUUAGAGGUGAAAUUCUUGGAUCGCCGUAAGACGAACUACUGCGAAAGCAUUUGCCAAGAAUGUUUUCA
RNAcentral lists this ribosomal RNA (380 nucleotides) under marine Metazoa environmental sample. Its description in RNAcentral is "SSU rRNA". It matches the Rfam family "Eukaryotic small subunit ribosomal RNA", at positions 587 to 972 of the family's 1831-position model. The record is from RNAcentral. Lineage: Eukaryota; Metazoa.